UAGGGAAUCUUCGGCAAUGGGGGGAACCCUGACCGAGCAACGCCGCGUGAGUGAAGAAGGUUUUCGGAUCGUAAAGCUCUGUUGUUAAGGAAGAACGAGUGUGAGAAUGGAAAGUUCAUGCUGUGACGGUACUUAACCAGAAAGGGACGGCUAACUACGUGCCAGCAGCCGCGGUAAUACGUAGGUCCCGAGCGUUGUCCGGAUUAAUUGGGCGUAAAGCGAGCGCAGGCGGUCAAUUAAGUCUGAUGUGAAAGCCCCCGGCUCAACCGGGGAGGGUCAUUGGAAACUGGUUGACUUGAGUGCAGAAGAGGAGAGUGGAAUUCCAUGUGUAGCGGUGAAAUGCGUAGAUAUAUGGAGGAACACCAGUGGCGAAGGCGACUCUCUGGUCUGUAACUGACGCUGAGGCUCGAAAGCGUGGGUAGCAAACAGG
RNAcentral lists this ribosomal RNA (430 nucleotides) under Bacteroidota bacterium. Its description in RNAcentral is "Bacteroidetes bacterium partial 16S ribosomal RNA". It matches the Rfam family "Bacterial small subunit ribosomal RNA", at positions 355 to 776 of the family's 1533-position model. The record is from RNAcentral. Lineage: Bacteria; Pseudomonadati; Bacteroidota.